CGGGUGUAGUUCAAUGGUAGAAUUCCAGCCUUCCAAGCUGGCCGUGCGGGUUCGAUUCCCGUCACCC
RNAcentral lists this transfer RNA (67 nucleotides) under human gut metagenome. It matches the Rfam family "tRNA". Rfam says of the family: Transfer RNA (tRNA) molecules are approximately 80 nucleotides in length. Their secondary structure includes four short double-helical elements and three loops (D, anti-codon, and T loops). Further hydrogen bonds mediate the characteristic L-shaped molecular structure. tRNAs have two regions of fundamental functional importance: the anti-codon, which is responsible for specific mRNA codon recognition, and the 3' end, to which the tRNAs corresponding amino acid is attached (by aminoacyl-tRNA synthetases). tRNAs cope with the degeneracy of the genetic code in two manners: having more than one tRNA (with a specific anti-codon) for a particular amino acid; and 'wobble' base-pairing, i.e. permitting non-standard base-pairing at the 3rd anti-codon position. RNAcentral also lists the same sequence under 1 other name. The record is from RNAcentral.